AGUGAACGCUGGCGGUAGGCCUAACACAUGCAAGUCGAACGGCAGCACAGUAAGAGCUUGCUCUUACGGGUGGCGAGUGGCGGACGGGUGAGGAAUACAUCGGAAUCUACUUUUUCGUGGGGGAUAACGUAGGGAAACUUACGCUAAUACCGCAUACGACCUACGGGUGAAAGCAGGGGAUCUUCGGACCUUGCGCGAUUGAAUGAGCCGAUGUCGGAUUAGCUAGUUGGCGGGGUAAAGGCCCACCAAGGCGACGAUCCGUAGCUGGUCUGAGAGGAUGAUCAGCCACACUGGAACUGAGACACGGUCCAGACUCCUACGGGAGGCAGCAGUGGGGAAUAUUGGACAAUGGGCGCAAGCCUGAUCCAGCCAUACCGCGUGGGUGAAGAAGGCCUUCGGGUUGUAAAGCCCUUUUGUUGGGAAAGAAAAGCAGCAGGUUAGUACCCUGCUGUUCUGACGGUACCCAAAGAAUAAGCACCGGCGAACUUCGU
This 491-nucleotide ribosomal RNA is filed under the name uncultured bacterium. RNAcentral's name for it is "partial 16S ribosomal RNA". It matches the Rfam family "Bacterial small subunit ribosomal RNA", at positions 29 to 506 of the family's 1533-position model. The record is from RNAcentral.